RNAcentral lists this ribosomal RNA (497 nucleotides) under uncultured bacterium. RNAcentral's name for it is "partial 16S ribosomal RNA". It matches the Rfam family "Bacterial small subunit ribosomal RNA", at positions 28 to 507 of the family's 1533-position model. The record is from RNAcentral.
GAUGAACGCUGGCGGCGUGCCUAAUACAUGCAAGUCGAGCGAACAGACGAGGAGCUUGCUCCUCUGACGUUAGCGGCGGACGGGUGAGUAACACGUGGAUAACCUACCUAUAAGACUGGGAUAACUUCGGGAAACCGGAGCUAAUACCGGAUAAUAUAUUGAACCGCAUGGUUCAAUAGUGAAAGACGGUUUUGCUGUAACUUAUAGAUGGAUCCGCGCCGCAUUAGCUAGUUGGUAAGGUAAAGGCUUACCAAGGCAACGCUGCGUAGCCGACCUGAGAGGGGGAUCGGCCACACUGGAGCUGAGACACGGUCCAGACUCCUACGGGAGGCAGCAGUAGGGAAUCUUCCGCAAUGGGCGAAAGCCUGACGGAGCAACGCCGCGUGAGUGAUGAAGGUCUUCGGAUCGUAAAACUCUGUUAUUAGGGAAGAACAAAUGUGUAAGUAACUAUGCACGUCUUGACGGUACCUAAUCAGAAAGCCACGGCUAACUACGUG